UACGUAGGGGGCAAGCGUUGUCCGGAUUUAUUGGGCGUAAAGAGCGUGUAGGCGGCCAUACAGGUCCGUUGUGAAAACUGGAGGCUUAACCUCCAGACGUCGAUGGAAACCGUAUGGCUGGAGUCCGGAAGAGGAGAGUGGAAUUCCUGGUGUAGCGGUGAAAUGCGCAGAUAUCAGGAAGAACACCCGUGGCGAAGGCGGCUCUCUGGGACGGUACUGACGCUGAGACGCGAAAGCGUGGGGAGCGAACAGG
This 253-nucleotide ribosomal RNA is filed under the name uncultured bacterium. RNAcentral describes it as "partial 16S ribosomal RNA". It matches the Rfam family "Bacterial small subunit ribosomal RNA", at positions 524 to 776 of the family's 1533-position model. The record is from RNAcentral.